Molecule: ribosomal RNA, 909 nt
Filed under: uncultured bacterium
Lineage: Bacteria
Description: bacterial SSU rRNA
Rfam family: Bacterial small subunit ribosomal RNA
Source: RNAcentral
ACGCUGGCGGCAGGCUUAACACAUGCAAGUCGAACGGUAACAGGGAUUAGCUUGCUAAUUUGCUGACGAGUGGCGGACGGGUGAGUAAUGCUUGGGAAUCUGGCUUAUGGAGGGGGAUAACUACGGGAAACUGUAGCUAAUACCGCGUAAAAUCUUAGGAUUAAAGGGUGGGACUUUCGAGCCACCUGCCAUAAGAUGAGCCCAAGUGGGAUUAGGUAGUUGGUUAGGUAAAGGCUGACCAAGCCGACGAUCUCUAGCUGGUCUGAGAGGAUGACCAGCCACACUGGAACUGAGACACGGUCCAGACUCCUACGGGAGGCAGCAGUGGGGAAUAUUGCACAAUGGGGGGAACCCUGAUGCAGCCAUGCCGCGUGAAUGAAGAAGGCCUUCGGGUUGUAAAGUUCUUUCGGUGACGAGGAAGGUUGAUAGGUUAAUAGCCUAUCAAAUUGACGUUAAUCACAGAAGAAGCACCGGCUAACUCCGUGCCAGCAGCCGCGGUAAUACGGGGGGUGCGAGCGUUAAUCGGAAUAACUGGGCGUAAAGGGCACGCAGGCGGUGACUUAAGUGAGAUGUGAAAGCCCCGAGCUUAACUUGGGAAUUGCAUUUCAUACUGGGUCGCUAGAGUACUUUAGGGAGGGGUAGAAUUCCACGUGUAGCGGUGAAAUGCGUAGAGAUGUGGAGGAAUACCGAAGGCGAAGGCAGCCCCUUGGGAAUGUACUGACGCUCAUGUGCGAAAGCGUGGGGAGCAAACAGGAUUAGAUACCCUGGUAGUCCACGCUGUAAACGGUGUCGAUUUGGGGAUUGGGCUUUGAGCUUGGUGCCCGUAGCUAACGUGAUAAAUCGACCGCCUGGGGAGUACGGCCGCAAGGUUAAAACUCAAAUGAAUUGACGGGGGCCCGCACAAGCGGU